GAACGCUGGCGGAAUGCUUUACACAUGCAAGUCGAACGGUAGAGGGGGCAACCCCUUGAGAGUGGCGAACGGGUGAGUAAUAUAUCGGAACGUGCCCAGUCGUGGGGGAUAACGUAGCGAAAGUUACACUAAUACCGCAUACGAUCUAAGGAUGAAAGCGGGGGAUCGCAAGACCUCGCGCGACUGGAGCGGCCGAUAUCAGAUUAGGUAGUUGGUAGGGUAAAGGCCUACCAAGCCAACGAUCUGUAGCUGGUCUGAGAGGACGACCAGCCACACUGGAACUGAGACACGGUCCAGACUCCUACGGGAGGCAGCAGUGGGGAAUUUUGGACAAUGGGCGAAAGCCUGAUCCAGCCAUUCCGCGUGCAGGAUGAAGGCCCUCGGGUUGUAAACUGCUUUUGUACAGAACGAAAAGGUUUCUGCUAAUACUAGGAGCUCAUGACGGUACUGUAAGAAUAAGCACCGACUAACUACGUGCCAGCAGCCCGCGGUAAUACGUAGGGUGCAAGCGUUAAUCGGAAUUACUGGGCGUAAAGCGUGCGCAGGCGGUUAUAUAAGUCAGAUGUGAAAUCCCCGGGCUCAACCUGGGAACUGCAUUUGAGACUGUAUAGCUAGAGUACCGUAGAAGGGGAUGGAAUUCCGCGUGUAGCAGUGAAAUGCGUAGAUAUGCGGAGGAACACCGAUGCGAAGCAAUCCCCUGACCUGUACUUGACGCUCAUGCACGAAAGCGUGGGAGCAACAGGAUUAGAU
Molecule: ribosomal RNA, 750 nt
Filed under: uncultured Crater Lake bacterium CL120-28
Lineage: Bacteria
Description: bacterial SSU rRNA
Rfam family: Bacterial small subunit ribosomal RNA
Source: RNAcentral